CCUACGGGAGGCAGCAGUGAGGAAUAUUGGUCAAUGGCCGCAGGGCUGAACCAGCCAAGUCGCGUGAGGGAUGACGGUCCUAUGGAUUGUAAACCUCUUUUGUCAGGGAGCAAAGUGCGCCACGUGUGGCUCUUUGCGCGUACCUUAUGAAUAAGCAUCGGCUAACUCCGUGCCAGCAGCCGCGGUAAUACGGAGGAUGCGAGCGUUAUCCGGAUUUACUGGGUUUAAAGGGGGCGCAGGCGGAAUGUCAAGUCAGCGGUAAAAUUUCGGGGCUCAACCCCGUCGUGCCGUUGAAUCUGGGGUUCUUGAGUGAGCGAGAGGUAGGCGGAAUGCGUGGUGUAGCGGUGAAAUGCAUAGAUAUCACGCAGAACUCCGAUUGCGAAGGCAGCAUACCGGAGCGCAACUGACGCUGAUGCACGAAAGCGUGGGUAUCGAACAGGAUUAGAUACCCUUGUAGUC
Molecule: ribosomal RNA, 459 nt
Filed under: uncultured bacterium
Lineage: Bacteria
Description: partial 16S ribosomal RNA
Rfam family: Bacterial small subunit ribosomal RNA
Source: RNAcentral